AAUGGGGAGGGAGCAGCGGGAGCGAGCUUUAUUAGGCGGUUUCUGUUGUUCAGGUGGGCGGGGACGCGCACGUAGUUUCGACUCAUCAGGCGACGCAGCAAACACCUGAAGUUUCAUGAUGUCAGCAGCAGAACUGAACUCCACUCUGACAUGGAGGAGGUACAUUUUGAAAACCAGGAAAAUCAACAAACAGCAACACAAGGUGUGGCUCUGAUACUGUUUGGUGAAGAGUUAAAGAUGCUUCUGCAGAGAAGAAUGCAAAGAACAAGCUCCUGGUUUAAGGAAACAGCAUGGAUUUCACACCAGUGUUGAGUGUUAUAGGCCAGGGUAUCCACUAUGUGAGGGUACACAGGCCUUUGGAAGAUCACAACCUCACCUCACCUCUUAUAUCCAACAUUGAGAUGAAGUGAAUAUUAGAAAAGCUGCAGUUUGUGUGUUUCUGCUGUAUUUGUGAGUGAAAGCAGACCAUUCUCAGGUUUACAUUGUACAAAAUGAGAUAAUAGAUACUGUAUUUACGGUGUUUGGGCCCUCAUUGAUUUGGUUUUAUUGUAUUAUUAUUAUUAUUAGUGGUAAAUCUCUAUGAGGUUACAUAUAAUCUUUAAGUUAUGGUGUUGCUGUUAAGUAUCAGUGUUAUAAAUCCAGAGGACUAACUUGAAUUAGAUCUUUUGAAUCUGUUGAAAGGAGCUGUGCGAACAUCAGUGUGUUCACUGAAAGAAUAUGGAUUAGUUUAUCAUUUUUAUUAUAAAUAUGAUUUAGGCAAGUCAGCCAUUUGUAAUAUUGCUUUUGAGUAAAAGUAUGACAUUUGUUAAUAGUACAAUCAUUGACUUAUAUCUCCAAGUGACUGAAUGAAUAGGUCUAGGCGUAACUGAGGCUACAAUUCCACAUGUCCUUUAAAGAUAGAGGGAGAAAAGAGAGAAUCAGGGCAGGUCAGCUGGUUCAGCCUCGCCGCGCUGGGACCUGAGGAGUCACCGACCUAUGACACCAUCUCAUAGCUCA
Long non-coding RNA from Sebastes umbrosus (honeycomb rockfish), 996 nucleotides. RefSeq lists it as uncharacterized. NCBI's taxonomy places the organism in Eukaryota, Metazoa, Chordata, Actinopteri, Perciformes, Sebastidae. The transcript has 4 exons. The record is from RefSeq and is a predicted model, not a curated record.